AGCAGGACUUACAAAACAACAAAAUGACUUCAAGAUCACUUUAAAAAGUCUCGAAGAUGAUUUACUAAAACGAUUGUCUUCCGCGGGACCAGAUAUUCUUAGUGAUUCAGCUUUGGUCAUUAACUUAGAGACUACGAAGAAGACAGCUGCAGAUAUAGAAGUGAAAGUCGAAGAAGGAAAAGUGACUGCGGUCAAGAUUGAUGAGGCCCGAGAAAGAUACAGGCGAGCAGCUACACGAGCUUCAAUCUUAUAUUUCAUUUUAAAUGAUUUAUACAAAAUAAAUCCGAUGUAUCAAUUCUCCUUGAAAGCGUACAGCGUAGUGUUUAAAGACGCC
Molecule: unclassified non-coding RNA, 334 nt
Filed under: Melitaea cinxia (Glanville fritillary)
Lineage: Eukaryota; Metazoa; Arthropoda; Insecta; Lepidoptera; Nymphalidae
Description: misc RNA ENSMCXG00005012259.1
Source: RNAcentral